ACAGGCCUGCCGACGGCGCGUCGCCCCUAAACCCUAGACCCCCUGCGGAAAUCUCUAGAGCCUGGGCCAGCUCUGUGCGCCAGCUCUUGCUCCAUCUCUCCGCGGCGGCAGCGCAACAACCGCACCCAUGAAAGUCGCCAUCCUCACCCCCCGCGAGCCUGCCCCAUCCUGCUUAGUGUCGUCCCCCGCCACCGCGCAGCCGCAACCCAUCUGGAUAAGGAUGCAUCCGCUUCUCCCAUAGCCGCCACUACCCCUGCCUGCCCUCGGCUACGAACACGAAGAUCCCCUGGAUGGAGGUGGAGCUCUCAGAGGCUUAUGAUCUAGAACUCUAUCUCAUACUACGGAUUCCACAGGGUGAGGAGAGAUACGAGCAGGGUCCCACCGGCGAUGCGGGUCCCAUCUUCGGCAUUGGGAGCAAUCCGCCUACUCGGACACGAAGGUUCUCUGAGGCGGUGUAGCUAUAGAUCAUGCGGGCAACGGGGAAGGACGAUAGCUACGCAGCCCACAUCACGAAGGCAUAUAAGUGGGAGUUCGCCGAAAGGGAAGGUUUGCAGCUGGUUGUGCUGAAUCCAGGGACUACUCUGGGUCCAUUUUUCAUGUCAUCAGUCAAUACCAGCCUGAAUAAUCUGUUGCAACACCUAAGAGGUUGAAAAUUAACCAGGCCAACGGCUUGAGUCGGACCCUGUCAACACAGGGUGGUCGAUGUUAGAGACAUGGCACAAUCUCGAUCGUGACGUAUGAGAACCCAUCUACACAGGGUUGUGCUUGGCGUCCAUGGAAUGUUUGUUUGACUUCACCGAUAGAAUUGCUGAUAUGUACCAUGAUUUCCCAGUUCAUAGGUCAUACAUUUUCUAAGAACAUGCAUCAGGUUUGUGUAAGCAGGGCUAGCUGUUCAUUUUGGUAAUGACAUUUUUACUUUUUUCACAUCAGAAUCAACUAUCAAAGAGGACAAACAGGUUGGUUGAUGAGAGCAAAGGAGCCCUCCAAGAAGUUGAUCGAUCUGGGCGUUUGUUUCCUUCCGUUUGAUGUGACCAUCAGGGAGACCGUCGAUUGCUUCAGAAGCAAAGGGCUCAUCUAGCCAUGUGAACAUUUCCAGAUGUACCAGGGUUACUAUUGCUUACUAGAAUGAGGCGAGAGCUGCUUAGCUCCUUUGACAUUCCUUCUACUUAGUGGCAAUUGGUUUGGUUACUUAAACCUAUGCUCCAUAUGAUCCACGCUGAUUGAAUUUUGGUUUGUUAAUAUGUUUUGGGCAAGCAGUGCUAUGAGAUGGAGAUGAUGGUUAGGCAUGAUCUUUCUAUAGGUUAAAAGAACAGAUUAUCCAACAGCUGAUGGAACCUGCAUUAGAGAUAUUAUGUUGAUGUCACAGAUUUAGUUGAUGCUCAUGUGAAAGCGCUCAACAAGGCAGACACUAGAAAAGUCAGUAUUUACAACGUUGGAACAGGAAGAGGUUUGGUAACACGAGAAUUGUUUAUUUAUUUGUAUAACUAUUAUUUAUUCAUGUGGAUAGUUGUACCCUGCACAGGUUUUAAUCAAUACUUUACUUAAUUUACAUGGUAACAAGAUAGAGAGGCCCGCAAAUAGUUAAUCUGGGACAACAUAUCUCUGUACUGGCCAUAGAGGACAACAAAAAAAAUCAAAAGUUGAAGAAUCACCAACGGUGCCUCCUUUGCACCCUCCAGCUCAAGAACCUGGGCCCGAGCCAGUUCAACAAGUCAUGCCCACAGCUGAAGUGCUGAACCAACAGAUUUACUGGGAAUCAAUGAAUCAGCCCGAGGCACAUCUGAAAUAGAUCAAAACAAGGUAGUCGCCUUGGUCGUGGUUCCACAUGAUAAUCCGCCAAAAGCACUUGCUUCUACCAGUCCUGGAAGCGUGGCGACUAGCUGGAGCAAAUCAGAUUCUGUGCGAUGAAAAGCAAGUGAAAGAGGCUAUUGUUCAGGUACUAAUUUGCCAUAGUGUUGGUCUAUGACUGAAUGGUACAAAAUACAUGCAAUGAAUGGAUGAUACUUUCCAGUUAAAUCAUGUAAUUGGAAUACAGUGGUGCCGUCAGCGGUGCGGAUUGGGGGCUUCUAGAGAAAGGGUCUAGCGUCGUGCCCUGCUUGACGAACAGUGUGUUGAUAUGUGCCAUCAUCGCACUGGGAACGAACGUGAUGGCUAGCACGGGGAGCAUCUUGAGCAUCUGCUUUGUCUCCACCACUCACCAUGCUCUGAGCCUGUGUUGGUAUGCAGACUUUUCCCUUUGUUUCAGAAGAAGAUGCAGUUGCAUUGCACAUUGUUGGAACCCACGAUCACCACAAAAUUGAGGGAAUAUGUCAUUACUCAUUUGCAUAACUCAUUAGUCAUUACCUUGUCAAGGUUUAUGCUUUCCAUCACGAACGGUUGGAGUUGCAACAUAACGAUACUUUGGUAUACCAAAUAAAGUUACUCUGUUCACCAAAUGUAGGGUUAGUUUUUUUGUUGUGCUAAAGACUGAACAUAAUUUGGGUGUGUUAAUAUUUUAUUUAUUGUCUG
Molecule: RNA transcript, 2508 nt
Organism: Zea mays
Lineage: Eukaryota; Viridiplantae; Streptophyta; Magnoliopsida; Poales; Poaceae
Exons: 6
Source: RefSeq, marked validated